GCGCGCUGAUGACCACUUAGGACACCUUUGGAUUCCCAUGAAAACAACCUUGCGACUGAGCGCC
Small nucleolar RNA from Syngnathus acus (greater pipefish), 64 nucleotides. RefSeq annotates it as small nucleolar RNA SNORD58. Lineage: Eukaryota; Metazoa; Chordata; Actinopteri; Syngnathiformes; Syngnathidae. The transcript has a single exon. The record is from RefSeq and is a predicted model, not a curated record.